This 82-nucleotide small RNA is filed under the name Halpernia frigidisoli. RNAcentral's name for it is "Flavo-1 RNA". It matches the Rfam family "Flavo-1 RNA". The record is from Rfam by way of RNAcentral. Lineage: Bacteria; Pseudomonadati; Bacteroidota; Flavobacteriia; Flavobacteriales; Weeksellaceae.
UUCUAGCCCUGAUAGUAGUGGAUAUCCUUUUUUGUCGUCUUCAGACGGCUAAAAAAGAUAGUAACGGAUAGCAGGUACACUU